RNAcentral lists this transfer RNA (73 nucleotides) under Elusimicrobiota bacterium. RNAcentral describes it as "tRNA-Leu". It matches the Rfam family "tRNA". From Rfam's summary of the family: Transfer RNA (tRNA) molecules are approximately 80 nucleotides in length. Their secondary structure includes four short double-helical elements and three loops (D, anti-codon, and T loops). The record is from RNAcentral. Lineage: Bacteria; Pseudomonadati; Elusimicrobiota.
GCCGAUGUAGCCCAACGGAAGAGGCGCCGCGUUCAGAACGCGGAGAGUGCGGGUUCGAAUCCUGCUAUCGGCA